RNAcentral lists this ribosomal RNA (356 nucleotides) under uncultured bacterium. Its description in RNAcentral is "bacterial SSU rRNA". It matches the Rfam family "Bacterial small subunit ribosomal RNA", at positions 30 to 319 of the family's 1533-position model. The record is from RNAcentral.
AUUGAACGCUGGCGGCAUGCCUUACACAUGCAAGUCGAACGGCAGCACGGGGGCAACCCUGGUGGCGAGUGGCGAACGGGUGAGUAAUGCAUCGGAACGUGCCCAGUAGUGGGGGAUAACUAGUCGAAAGAUUAGCUAAUACCGCAUACGACCUACGGGUGAAAGCGGGGGAUGCAGCACUUAAUGUUUUGGGAUGGCUACUUGUGGCCGCCUCGGGACAGUCUCAGGUGAGAACAUUAAGUGCUGCACCUCGCGCUAUUGGAGCGGCCGAUGUCUGAUUAGCUAGUUGGCGGGGUAAAGCCCACCAAGGCGACGAUCAGUAGCUGGUCUGAGAGGACGACCAGCCACACUGGGAC